UACGAAGGGUGCAAGCGUUACUCGGAAUUACUGGGCGUAAAGCGUGCGUAGGUGGUGAGUUAAGUCUGUCGUGAAAGCCCCGGGCUCAACCUGGGAAUUGCGUUGGAGACUGCAAGGCUAGAAUCUGGCAGAGGGGGGUAGAAUUCCACGUGUAGCAGUGAAAUGCGUAGAUAUGUGGAGGAACACCGAUGGCGAAGGCAGCCCCCUGGGUCAAGAUUGACGCUCAUGCACGAAAGCGUGGGGAGCAAACAGGG
Molecule: ribosomal RNA, 254 nt
Filed under: uncultured bacterium
Lineage: Bacteria
Description: partial 16S ribosomal RNA
Rfam family: Bacterial small subunit ribosomal RNA
Source: RNAcentral